GGCGUCACUAGUAAGUCUUGUGUGGACAAAAUGCACUUCUGGCGUAUUAAAAUUUUAAACUUGUUGCCUUUUGUUAGCUAUUAUUCGUGUGUUUCUUUGUCAAUUAUGUUCUCCUAUGUAUUUAUAUUGUAGUCCUGUAAUGUUGUGUUGUCAUUUUAAUGUUAUAUUUCACAUGGCCAUAAAAGAGGGAGGUUUGGCAUGCCACAAAACCAGGUUCAACCCACC
This 225-nucleotide long non-coding RNA is filed under the name Mytilus galloprovincialis (Mediterranean mussel). The record is from RNAcentral. Lineage: Eukaryota; Metazoa; Mollusca; Bivalvia; Mytilida; Mytilidae.